This 274-nucleotide ribosomal RNA is filed under the name uncultured bacterium. Its description in RNAcentral is "partial 16S ribosomal RNA". It matches the Rfam family "Bacterial small subunit ribosomal RNA", at positions 523 to 796 of the family's 1533-position model. The record is from RNAcentral.
AUACGGAGGGUGCAAGCGUUAAUCGGAAUUACUGGGCGUAAAGCGCGCGUAGGCGGUUUAGUAAGUCGGAUGUGAAAGCCCUGGGCUCAACCUGGGAAUUGCAUUCGAUACUGCUUGACUAGAGUAUGGUAGAGGGAAGUGGAAUUUCCGGUGUAGCGGUGAAAUGCGUAGAUAUCGGAAGGAACACCAGUGGCGAAGGCGACUUCCUGGGCCAAUACUGACGCUGAGGUGCGAAAGCGUGGGGAGCAAACAGGAUUAGAAACCCUGGUAGUCC